This 856-nucleotide long non-coding RNA is filed under the name Homo sapiens (human). RNAcentral's name for it is "non-protein coding lnc-SPAG7-1:1". Lineage: Eukaryota; Metazoa; Chordata; Mammalia; Primates; Hominidae. The record is from RNAcentral.
UGAUCAUCAUGCCUCACUGCCAUUCCCUGCCUAGGGUUCCUGGGGGGGCCGAAGGCAUGCGAUGCCUUCUGUGAGGUCCAUCUUUUGUUUCUUUCACCAGAGGCUCCUUUCUCACCAAGAAGCAGGACCAGGCAGCCCGGAAGAUCAUGAGAUUCCUGCGGCGCUGCCGACACAGGAUGAGGGAACUGAAGCAGAACCAGGAGCUGGAAGGGCUUCCCCAGCCGGGACUGGCCACAUGACCUGGCCACCGCCUUUCUCACCACCCUGGGGGCGCCUCGUGCAGUCUUAACAGGGAGAGGGCUUUCUGGGGCAGGGGGAGCCCCUGUCGGCAGCUUUCCUGUUCACCUUUGUUGGAGCCCUCUGUAGGCCUCCUCCCUCCUCCCCACGCCUUGCUCCCACACCCCUCUCCUCGUCCCUCCUGGUCGUGCCCCGUCUCUUUUGGUCCUGGCUCCAGAAAACCCGCGCCCCACAUACCUGCAUCUUCCGCUGUGACCUCCGGAGCCCUGCCUGCCCCUGCUCCCCAGCUCCUCCUGCCUGCACCCGACUCGGCCCCCUCCUGACUUGCCUUAUUUAUUUGUUCGACGCGUCUCUGAAUGUAUCCGCCUCGGUUCCCACCACUGCCUUCGCUGCGCACGCCCCUCGUGUUUCAGGGCUGACCGUGUCCCCACCCGACUCCGCAUGUUUGCGUCUGUUUCCUCCCUCUCUGGCCCUGUCUUACCCCAUCACCCGACUCUGGCCACUGACCUCAGGGCCGAAGGGGAGGUGGUGUACAUAGGAACGCGUUGCGGAGUCCGCCCCGUCCCCCGAGGGGAGGGGUCUUGUACAUACUGUAACAUACAGAGUAUAGUGAAGAAUC